UCAGAGACGAAAAGAUGACGGUACCUGAAGAACUAAGCAUCGGCUAAACCCCGUGCCAGCAGCCGCGGUAAGACGGGGGAUGCGAGCGUUAUCCGGAAUGAUUGGGCGUAAAGGGUCCGCAGGUGGCCCGGUCAGUCCGCUGUCAAAGCCUGGGGCUCAACCCUGGAGAGGCGGCGGAGACCACCGGGCUUGAGUCCGGUAGGGGCAGAGGGAAUUCCCGGUGGAGCGGUGAAAUGCGUAGAGAUCGG
Molecule: ribosomal RNA, 248 nt
Filed under: uncultured cyanobacterium
Lineage: Bacteria; Bacillati; Cyanobacteriota
Description: partial 16S ribosomal RNA
Rfam family: Bacterial small subunit ribosomal RNA
Source: RNAcentral